GGGGACUAAACUGCAAUUUUCACAAAUUGAGGGACCAAAUUGAAUUUUCGUCAUCUUCAACCUCAAACCCAGAAUUUCAACAGAUCACCUACUGUUAGUUCCAGAUUUAUACCUCAACUUCAUCAUUCAAUUCAACCAUAACUCAAAAUCAUCAUAUUUCUCUAUAAUCUCUCCAAUUCAACUAAAUAAUCAAAUACCCACAUCAAUCAACCCCUUAAUUCAAACUAAUUCAUCAAUAAACUCAAAAUUCAAAACUCUAAAAUUAAUCAAAAACCGAAAUUUAAAGCUAAAGAAAACAUAUUAUACAUAUUCAAGCAUAAUUCUUA
RNAcentral lists this long non-coding RNA (326 nucleotides) under Populus tremula. RNAcentral describes it as "long non-coding RNA (PTRE_LNC003061)". Lineage: Eukaryota; Viridiplantae; Streptophyta; Magnoliopsida; Malpighiales; Salicaceae. The record is from RNAcentral.